UAGGGAGACCAUCUGAUAGUCGACCGAACCUAAACAAUAGGUCGUUGUCAGUCAUCCCUGGUCGUUCGAGAAAUAGAUGUCAAAGCUUUCAAACUAUUAACUGGUUCGGAACUCGCGGGCUAUUAGCUCAGUUGGUUAGAGCGCACCCCUGAUAAGGGUGAGGUCCCUGGUUCAAAUCCAGGAUGGCCCACCUGGAAAAAAGUGAUGAAUUGUCAGUAAUGAGUAAUGGAUAAUCAAUGAUUAAUUCAGGAUUAAUUCAGGACUCAUACAAUCAAAAUCAGAACUUACUUAGUGGGGGUAUAGCUCAGUUGGUAGAGCGCCUGCCUUGCACGCAGGAAGUCAGCGGUUCGAGUCCGCUUACCUCCACUCUCACUAACUAUUACCACCGCCAAAAAAACCCAAAAAAAUAGAAAUCAGCACCCAGACUAACUUGGUCAAAAAAGAAGUCGGAAUGCUGGAGUCUAGAACUCUAGUCAGAACCUUGAAAACUGCAUAGAAAUUAAGUCAUCAAAGCUUGUCAGUCAUCCGAGCAAUCGGAGUAUCUGACCAGCGACCACCAUGAAAAAAUCAAGU
This 573-nucleotide transfer RNA is filed under the name Microcoleus autumnalis Kvet-0. RNAcentral's name for it is "Phormidium autumnale Kvet-0 partial 16S-23S ribosomal RNA intergenic spacer". The stretch from base 294 to 366 matches the Rfam family "tRNA". The record is from RNAcentral. Lineage: Bacteria; Bacillati; Cyanobacteriota; Cyanophyceae; Oscillatoriales; Microcoleaceae. RNAcentral also lists the same sequence under 1 other name.